UACGUAGGUGGCAAGCGUUGUCCGGAUUUACUGGGCGUAAAGAGCGCGCAGGCGGUCGUACAAGUCGGGUGUGAAAGCCCCCGGCUCAACUGGGGAGGGUCACGCGAUACUGGUCGACUCGAAGGCAGGAGAGGGAAGCAGAAUUCCCGGUGUAGUGGUGAAAUGCGUAGAUAUCGGGAGGAAUACCAGUGGCGAAGGCGGCUUCCUGGCCUGUUCUUGACGCUGAGGCGCGAAAGCUAGGGUAGCAAACGGG
Molecule: ribosomal RNA, 253 nt
Filed under: uncultured bacterium
Lineage: Bacteria
Description: partial 16S ribosomal RNA
Rfam family: Bacterial small subunit ribosomal RNA
Source: RNAcentral